RNAcentral lists this ribosomal RNA (507 nucleotides) under Triticum aestivum (bread wheat). RNAcentral describes it as "partial small subunit ribosomal RNA". The record is from RNAcentral. Lineage: Eukaryota; Viridiplantae; Streptophyta; Magnoliopsida; Poales; Poaceae.
AUGAAACCUGUAAAGGCCAGUGACCCCAUUGAUGUGUUAAACAUCAAAAUGAAGAGAUUCAAAAAGUUUUUCAAAGGGUGGGGAUCCAACUUGUUUGGAAAAUCUAGAAAAAGAAGGAGUGACCUUAGGGUGGAACUUGAACAUCUAGAAAAAUUAGAAGAAACUGAUGUGCUCUCCCCCGAACUAUACGGCAAGAAAGUGGAUAUUUUGGUGGAACUCCAUGAUUUACUUGUGGAAGAAGAGAUCACAUGGAUGCAAAAAUCACAUGCAAAUUGGUUGUUGAAAGGGGAUAGAAAUACUGAAUAUUUCCACAGAAUUGUGAAUGGUAGAAGAAGGAGAAAUACUAUUUUCUCACUUAGUCGUGGAGAUGAGGUGAUUGAGGGGAGUAGUAACUUGUUGAAGCAUGCAACUGAGUUUUAUAAAGAACUGUUUGGGCCUGCAUCUGGGGAUUUGUGCAGACUUAAAGAAAAUAUGUGGGAGCCAAAUGAAAAGUUGUCAAAUAUCGAC